GGGGGGGCAAGCGUUUGUUCGGAUUUACUGGGCGUAAAGGGCUCGUAGGCGGCCACCUAAGUCGGUUGUGAAAUCCCUCGGCUUAACCGGGGAACUGCGACCGAUACUGAGUGGCUUGAAGCCGGGAGAGGGAUGCGGAAUUCCAGGUGUAGCGGUGAAAUGCGUAGAUAUCUGGAGGAACACCCGUGGCGAAGGCGGCAUCCUGGACCGGUCUUGACGCUGAGGAGCGAAAGCUAGGGGAGCGAACGGGAUUAGAUACCCCGGUAGUCCUAGCCCUAAACGAUGAAUGCUUGGUGUGCGGGUAUCGAUCCCUGCCCGUGCCGUAGCUAACGUGUUAAGCAUUCCGCCUGGGGAGUACGGUCGCAAGGCUG
Molecule: ribosomal RNA, 371 nt
Filed under: uncultured organism
Description: partial 16S ribosomal RNA
Rfam family: Bacterial small subunit ribosomal RNA
Source: RNAcentral